This 489-nucleotide ribosomal RNA is filed under the name uncultured bacterium. RNAcentral's name for it is "partial 16S ribosomal RNA". It matches the Rfam family "Bacterial small subunit ribosomal RNA", at positions 29 to 500 of the family's 1533-position model. The record is from RNAcentral.
AUGAACGCUGGCGGCGUGCCUAAUACAUGCAAGUCGAGCGAACGGACGAGAAGCUUGCUUUUCUGAUGUUAGCGGCGGACGGGUGAGUAACACGUGGAUAACCUACCUAUAAGACUGGGAUAACUUCGGGAAACCGGAGCUAAUACCGGAUAAUAUUUUGAACCGCAUGGUUCAAAAGUGAAAGACGGUCUUGCUGUCACUUAUAGAUGGAUCCGCGCUGCAUUAGCUAGUUGGUAAGGUAACGGCUUACCAAGGCAACGAUGCAUAGCCGACCUGAGAGGGUGAUCGGCCACACUGGAACUGAGACACGGUCCAGACUCCUACGGGAGGCAGCAGUAGGGAAUCUUCCGCAAUGGGCGAAAGCCUGACGGAGCAACGCCGCGUGAGUGAUGAAGGUCUUCGGAUCGUAAAACUCUGUUAUUAGGGAAGAACAUAUGUGUAAGUAACUGUGCACAUCUUGACGGUACCUAAUCAGAAAGCCACGGCUAA